Molecule: long non-coding RNA, 237 nt
Filed under: Malus domestica (apple)
Lineage: Eukaryota; Viridiplantae; Streptophyta; Magnoliopsida; Rosales; Rosaceae
Description: long non-coding RNA (MDOM_LNC004673)
Source: RNAcentral
AGAGCUUUAAAAGUGUAGAAUACUAGCAAUUGGGCCCUUAGCUCAUCUCAUAUAAGGGCAAAGCUUACUGUUAUGUCUGAGACUGCCAAGUAGAUGUAUAAUUCCUCGACUGCUUCUGGCUUGGAUAGUAGCGGAAAGGAUGUCAAAUAUCUCUUCAAGUCUUGAAAUGCUUUCUCGUACUCGUCGUCCCACUUGUCUCUUUUGGCCCUCUUGAUGGCCCUGAAAAAUGGCUUGCAU